UACGAAGGGUGCGAGCGUUAUUCGAAAUUACUGGGCGUAAAGGGUGCGUAGACGGUAUGUUAAGUUUGUUGUUAAAGACUUUGGCCUAACUGGAGGGUUGCAAUGAAAACUGGCGUACUAGAGGGUGAGAGAGAGAAGUGGAAUUCCCGGUGUAGCGGUAAAAUGCGUAGAUCUCGGGAGGAACACCAAUGGCGAAGGCAGCUUCUUGGCUCAAUUCUGACGUUGAGGCGCGAAAGCGUGGGGAGCAAACAGG
This 253-nucleotide ribosomal RNA is filed under the name uncultured bacterium. Its description in RNAcentral is "partial 16S ribosomal RNA". It matches the Rfam family "Bacterial small subunit ribosomal RNA", at positions 524 to 776 of the family's 1533-position model. The record is from RNAcentral.